CACGCGGUAUUGGUCAGUCAAACAAAAAUACUCAUAGUAGGGCGACGGCUGAAAAGGUGGCACGAAUGCGUACGACAGUCUAGUGUCAAGGCCACAGGCGACGGGAUACGCGAGAAUCUAUAACACGUAGCGCGUGGAGAGUUACAAACAAACAUACAGAAGUUACCAAAAAAAAUACCCUAAGCGAUUGGUGAAGACUCCAGAAGAAUUGAAGUACUAUUUUGUAUUCAUAGAGGAAUUAACAAGAAAAAGAAAUCAUAUCAAGAUAAAAGAGUAUCAUCGUCAGCAAACAUUCUUUUUAAAUAAUAAUUCAACAAGACUGUUCUUCAUAUAAUUAUGUGAGAAUUAAUGAUAAUGGAGAUAAAUUAAAAGUAAAAUGUGUGGUAAUCACAAUCACGAGAUAAAUGAAAUAUUGAUUAAUAACUUACCAAAUCAAAUUGGUCGGUAAUAUAACUGAUAUCCGACCACUGCACGACGAAAUGCGUUUUUAUCUUUUGAACCCCCCUUGUAUAAAGGGAAAUGAUUUGAUUUAAAAAAAAUGGAGGGUCGAUUG
Daktulosphaira vitifoliae (grape phylloxera) is the source of this 553-nucleotide long non-coding RNA. RefSeq lists it as uncharacterized. The transcript has 3 exons. NCBI's taxonomy places the organism in Eukaryota, Metazoa, Arthropoda, Insecta, Hemiptera, Phylloxeridae. The record is from RefSeq and is a predicted model, not a curated record.